Long non-coding RNA from Arabidopsis thaliana (thale cress), 340 nucleotides. RefSeq annotates it as other RNA. The record is from RefSeq. The transcript has a single exon. Lineage: Eukaryota; Viridiplantae; Streptophyta; Magnoliopsida; Brassicales; Brassicaceae.
AGUUCUCUCCUGCAAAUCAAAUAGUCGGCAACCUUGUAUUUUGAGUAAAAAACUAAAGCAUGUAUCUUAAUUUGCAACUAUGCACACCAUUGUAAAUUCUUAUGAGUUCAUAUCAUGAAAUACUCAGACCGCAAAACAAAAGGUGACUUCAACAAGAUACAGGGAAGACACUAUACAUGAGCUCUACCGCAUCACCACCCCCUCGAUGAAAAUAGUUCCAAUAAUACAAUUUCUCUAAGUACCAAAACUUCAGUACUGAACACCAUGGUUUUAAGCUAAAAUGGAAAAACAAAAUAAGUGUUCAUGAAAAAGGGUGUUUUACAUGUUUAUCACAUUCUAU